Molecule: ribosomal RNA, 463 nt
Filed under: uncultured bacterium
Lineage: Bacteria
Description: partial 16S ribosomal RNA
Rfam family: Bacterial small subunit ribosomal RNA
Source: RNAcentral
GACGAACGCUGGCGGCGUGCUUAACACAUGCAAGUCGAACGGAAAGGCCUUUUCGGAGGUACUCGAGUGGCGAACGGGUGAGUAACACGUGGGUGAUCUGCCCUGCACUCUGGGAUAAGCCUGGGAAACUGGGUCUAAUACCGGAUAGGACCGCACUUUAGUGUGUGUGGUGGAAAGUUUUUUCGGUGUAGGAUGAGCCCGCGGCCUAUCAGCUUGUUGGUGGGGUAAUGGCCUACCAAGGCGGCGACGGGUAGCCGGACUGAGAGGUUGGUCGGCCACAUUGGGACUGAGAUACGGCCCAGACGCCUACGGGAGGCAGCAGUGGGGAAUAUUGCACAAUGGGCGCAAGCCUGAUGCAGCGACGCCGCGGGGGGGAUGACGGCCUUCGGGUUGUAAACUCCUUUCGCCAGGGACGAAGCGUUUUGUGACGGUACCUGGAGAAGAAGCACCGGCUAACUACGUG